This 253-nucleotide ribosomal RNA is filed under the name uncultured bacterium. RNAcentral describes it as "partial 16S ribosomal RNA". It matches the Rfam family "Bacterial small subunit ribosomal RNA", at positions 524 to 776 of the family's 1533-position model. The record is from RNAcentral.
UACAGAGGUCUCAAGCGUUGUUCGGAAUCACUGGGCGUAAAGGGUGCGUAGGCGGCGUGGAAAGUCAGAUGUGAAAUCCGGGAGCUCAACUUCCGAAUGGCAUCCGAUACUACCGUGCUAGAGAACUGGAGGGGAGUCUGGAAUUCUCGGUGUAGCAGUGAAAUGCAUAGAUAUCGAGAGGAACACCUGUGGCGAAGGCGAGACUCUGGACAGUAUCUGACGCUGAGGCACGAAGGUCAGGGGAGCGAACGGG